ACGUAGGGUGCAAGCGUUGUCCGGAAUUAUUGGGCGUAAAGAGCUCGUAGGCGGUUUGUCGCGUCGAAUGUGAAAACCCGGGGCUCAACCCCGGGCCUGCAUUCGAUACGGGCAGACUAGAGUUCGGUAGGGGAGUCUGGAAUUCCUGGUGUAGCGGUGAAAUGCGCAGAUAUCAGGAGGAACACCGGUGGCGAAGGCGGGACUCUGGGCCGAUACUGACGCUGAGGAGCGAAAGCGUGGGGAGCGAACAGGAUUAGAUACCCUGGUAGUCCACGCCGUAAACGUUGGGCGCUAGGUGUGGGGGUCCUUCCACGACCUCCGUGCCGCAGCUAACGCAUUAAGCGCCCCGCCUGGGGAGUACGGCCGCAAGGCUA
This 374-nucleotide ribosomal RNA is filed under the name uncultured bacterium. RNAcentral's name for it is "bacterial SSU rRNA". It matches the Rfam family "Bacterial small subunit ribosomal RNA", at positions 525 to 896 of the family's 1533-position model. The record is from RNAcentral.